Molecule: RNA transcript, 2417 nt
Organism: Juglans regia (Persian walnut)
Lineage: Eukaryota; Viridiplantae; Streptophyta; Magnoliopsida; Fagales; Juglandaceae
Gene name: cyclin-dependent kinase D-3-like
Exons: 8
Source: RefSeq, a predicted model, not a curated record
UCUCUACUCUCUCUAGCUUCCAUUGGCUUUUUUUAACCCGAUCCCUUGCCCGAUGUUCGAGCCCUAACAUUCUCGGAUUUUCUUGAGUAAAUGACGAACCGCCGCGAAAGUUCUCCGAUUUGAGCCCAAACAUCGCACAUCAUAGCAAGUAAAUUUAAUAUGAGAGUUAAAUAAAUUACAUGCACAAAAAAAGAUAAAAAUCCGAACCAAAAAAAUGACAGAGCUCGAUCUGUCCAAGAAAGUAGCCGAUAGAUAUCUGAAGCGAGAAGUCCUUGGCGAAGGUACCUAUGGAGUUGUGUACAAAGCCAUUGAUACCAAGACAGGACAGAAAGUCGCAAUUAAGAAAAUCCGGCUUGGGAGGCAAAAGGAAGGGGUGAAUUUUACGGCACUUAGAGAAAUCAAGCUCCUUAAAGAGCUUAAAGAUCCGAAUAUAAUUGAGUUAAUUGAUGCGUUCCCCCAUAAGGGUAACUUGCACCUUGUGUUCGAGUUCAUGGAGACAGACCUUGAAGCUGUUAUUCGUGACCGAAAUAUAUUUCUUUCACCGGCUGACAUAAAAUCAUACCUUCAGAUGACACUUAAAGGACUUGCAUUUUGCCACAAGAAAUGGGUUUUACAUAGGGAUAUGAAGCCAAACAACUUAUUAAUCGGAUCAAAUGGACAGCUCAAACUUGCAGAUUUUGGUUUAGCACGAAUAUUUGGCAGCCCAGAUCGCAAGUUUACUCACCAGGUUUGCUUCUCCUUUUAUAAUUGCAUGGCGAUUCAUUUAAUUGAGGAGAGUUCUAGUAUUUGGAGUUCAAGAUCUUUGGGGAUGAAUCUGUGGAUAACUCUGUAGGUACUGCUUUUGUUGAAAGAAAUCUUAUUUGGUGGUGGUUCUUAAGGAAUUGAGUUUGUGAAGUUGAGUUUUAUUUAUGAUGUAGAUUAUGAACUUUACAUGUUAUCAAUAACUGCCCUUUUUCGUUUAACAUAAAUUGUGUGUCACUAAGGUUGCUAAGAGGAAAUUAAACCUUUUUGAGUUGGUACUUUGCUUGGUCAUGAGGGAUUUCAUGCAAGUUUUUAUAUGGUUAUUUGACAGAAAAAAAUUGGCAUUCGAUCAUGAUUAAGUUUUGUAGAAAGAAAGUAACAAGCAGGAAUUACUUUUACUUUCAUUUACAACUUUUUCUCCUUAUUGUUUCGUUAUUGAUGAUGUGUUGAUGGUUGCUUUAUUGUAUAAUUGCUGCUGCUGUUGUAAAUACUGUUACUGUUAUGUCACUGGUUUAUGCAAGCCUGCAAGAAGGAAGGAGCUGAUUGUUUGAGAGGUCUUUGCUCGAUGGUAUAGAGCACCUGAGCUGUUGUUUGGUACCAAGCAAUACGGUUCGGGGGUGGAUGUUUGGGCUGCAGCUUGUAUUUUUGCUGAACUUCUCCUGCGUCGUCCUUUGCUGCAGGGUUCAAGUGACAUCGAUCAAUUAGGAAAGAUUUUUGCUGCAUUUGGGACUCCAAAACCUUCUCAGUGGCCUGAUAUGCUAUACCUCCCCGAUUACGUGGAGUAUCAACAUGUUCCUGCACCCCCUCAACGGUCACUGUUCCCAAUGGCUAGUGAAGAUGCUUUAGAUCUGUUGUCGAAGAUGUUUACUUAUGAUCCCAAAGCUAGAAUAUCAGUGCAGCAGGCACUUGAGCACCGAUACUUUUCAUCUGCACCACUGGCUACAGAUCCAGAUAAACUCCCUAGACCUGCACCUAAGCGUGAAUCUAGGGUUUCAGACUUUAACUCACAUGAUGGUCCAACUGUCUUAUCGCCUCCAAGAAAGUCCAGGAGAGUGAUGCCAGAACGUGAGGGUUUUGAAGGAAAUGCCUACCAAGUUGAUAAGAAUGAUGACCAUAUUGGUGAGAUGAGACAGGCAGCUGGUGACAAUACAAGCAGGAAUGAACCAGUCCCAAUGUCGAUAGAUUUUUCUAUUUUUGGAGCAAAACCUCCAAAUAGGCCGACAAUUAACAGUGUUGACAGAACACAUUUAAAAAGGAAAUUAGAUCUUGAAUUCCAACAUCCCGAAUAAGAACAUUUUAUGUCUAGUGUACUCAAAUCCAGAUUUGGUUAUUGUCCAAGGGAUGUAUUACUGCUGGGCCAACACUAUGAGGUUUUGUAGGGGUGAGAAAUAACUGUUAAAAGGUGAAAGGGAAGGCAGGAAGUAGUGGCUCCCCUUCCACGUUUGAGGAGAAUUUGUAUUAUAGCCCACGGAAUGGAAGAACAACAUAUCGAAGGGAUUCUUUAUAGAUAUUAUUUGACUAGAGUUGAUGCUUGAGAACUGUAGAAUUUGAGUAUAUUUUUUAUUGCACUAAAUGAGGAAAGCUCUGUACACAAAUUGCGGUUAACUGUUUGUGAACGAGAUAAUGUGACCUGUGAUCUCAAUUUGGUUGGAAGAAACUGCUCUAUUGACCAUCAA